This 490-nucleotide ribosomal RNA is filed under the name uncultured bacterium. Its description in RNAcentral is "partial 16S ribosomal RNA". It matches the Rfam family "Bacterial small subunit ribosomal RNA", at positions 30 to 507 of the family's 1533-position model. The record is from RNAcentral.
AUUGAACGCUGGCGGCAUGCCUAACACAUGCAAGUCGAACGGCAGCGCGAAGUUGCUUGUUGCUUUGCCUGCGAGCCGCGGACGUGUGAGUAAUGUCCGGGCACCUUCCUGAGGGAGGGCUAUACCUACUGGUAACUGUUACUACUACCGCCCAACGUCGCAAAGCCAAAGAGGGUGACCUUCUGGCCUCUUGCCAUCAGCUAUGCCCAGAUGGGAUUAGCUAGUAGGUGGGGUAACGGCUCACCUAGGCGACGAUCCGUAGCUGGUUUGAGAGGAUGACCAGCCACACUGGAACUGAGACACGGCCCAGACUCCUACGGGAGGCAGCAGUGGGGAAUAUUGGACAAUGGGCGCAAGCCUGAUGCAGCCAUGCCGCGUGUAUGAUGAAGGCCUUCGGGUUGUAAAGUACUUUUGGCAGGGGAGAAGGUGUGGAGGUUAAUAACCUGAGCAAUUGACGUUACCCGCAGAAGAAGCACCGGCUAACUACGUG